Molecule: ribosomal RNA, 771 nt
Filed under: uncultured Halomonas sp.
Lineage: Bacteria; Pseudomonadati; Pseudomonadota; Gammaproteobacteria; Oceanospirillales; Halomonadaceae
Description: bacterial SSU rRNA
Rfam family: Bacterial small subunit ribosomal RNA
Source: RNAcentral
ACUGACACUGAGGUGCGAAAGCGUGGGUAGCAAAAGGAAAAGAUACCCUGGUAGUCCACGCCGUAAACGAUGACGACCACCCGUUGGGUGCCUAGCGCACUUUGUGGCGAAGUUAACGCGAUAAGUCGACCGCCUGGGGAGUACGGCCGCAAGGUUAAAACUCAAAUGAAUUGACGGGGGCCCGCACAGGCGGUGGAGCAUGUGGUUUAAUUCGAUGCAACGCGAAGAACCUUACCUACUCUUGACAUCCUGCGAAUUUGGUAAAGAUACCUUAGUGCCUUCGGGAACGCAGAGACAGGUGCUGCAUGGCUGUCGUCAGCUCGUGUUGUGAAAUGUUGGGUUAAGUCCCGUAACGAGCGCAACCCUUGUCCUUAUUUGCCAGCGCGUAAUGGCGGGAACUCUAAGGAGACUGCCGGUGACAAACCGGAGGAAGGUGGGGACGACGUCAAGUCAUCAUGGCCCUUACGAGUAGGGCUACACACGUGCUACAAUGGUCGGUACAAAGGGUCGCCAACUCGCGAGAGUGAGCCAAUCCCGAAAAGCCGAUCUCAGUCCGGAUCGGAGUCUGCAACUCGACUCCGUGAAGUCGGAAUCGCUAGUAAUCGUGGAUCAGAAUGCCACGGUGAAUACGUUCCCGGGGCCUUGUACACACCGCCCGUCACACCAUGGGAGUGGACUGCACCAGAAGUGGUUAGCCUAAACGCAAGAGGGCGAUCACCACGGUGUGGUUCAUGACUGGGGUGAAGUCGUAACAAGGUAACCAAUCCCGCG